Molecule: unclassified non-coding RNA, 345 nt
Filed under: soil metagenome
Description: partial contains 5.8S ribosomal RNA, internal transcribed spacer 2, and large subunit ribosomal RNA
Rfam family: 5.8S ribosomal RNA (bases 1-120)
Source: RNAcentral
GAUGAAGAACGUAGCGAAAUGCGAUAAGUAAUGUGAAUUGCAGAAUUCCGUGGAUCAUCGAAUCUUUGAACGCACAUUGCGCCCUCUGGUAUUCCGGGGGGCAUGCCUGUCCGAGCGUCAUUUGCAACCCUCAAGCCCGGCUUGUGUGAUGGGUGCCGUCCCCUACGGGACGCGCCCCGAAGGCAAUGGCGGCGUCGCGGUUAUCCGAUCAGCCAAAGUGUAUGGGGCUUUGUCACUCACUUUACGGCCCGGACCGGCGCCAGCCCGAAUCAAUCUUUUUUCUAAAGUUGACCUCGGAUCAGGUAGGGAUACCCGCUGAACUUAAGCAUAUCAAUAGGCGGAGGA